CGAAAGCCUGACGGAGCAACGCCGCGUGUGGGAAGAAGGCCUUUGGGCUGUCAACCACUUUUCUCAGGGAAGAAGCUCUGACGGUACCUGAGGAAUCAGCCUCGGCUAACUCCGUGCCAGCAGCCGCGGUAAUACGGAGGAGGCAAGCGUUAUUCGGAAUUAUUGGGCGUAAAGCGUCCGCAGGGGGCUCAUCAAGUCUGCUGUCAAAGGUCGGAGCUCAACUCCGGUUCGGCAGUGGAAACUGGUGGGCUAGAGGGCGACAGGGGUAGAGGGAAUUCCCAGUGUAGCGGUGAAAUGCGUAGAGAUUGGGAAGAACACCGGUGGCGAAAGCGCUCUACUGGGUCGCACCUGACCCUCAGGGACGAAAGCUAAGGUAGCG
Molecule: ribosomal RNA, 379 nt
Filed under: uncultured Chroococcales cyanobacterium
Lineage: Bacteria; Bacillati; Cyanobacteriota; Cyanophyceae; Chroococcales
Description: bacterial SSU rRNA
Rfam family: Bacterial small subunit ribosomal RNA
Source: RNAcentral